Molecule: ribosomal RNA, 1372 nt
Filed under: uncultured bacterium
Lineage: Bacteria
Description: bacterial SSU rRNA
Rfam family: Bacterial small subunit ribosomal RNA
Source: RNAcentral
GAUGAACGCUGGCGGCGUGCCUAAUACAUGCAAGUCGAGCGAACGGACGAGAAGCUUGCUUCUCUGAUGUUAGCGGCGGACGGGUGAGUAACACGUGGAUAACCUACCUAUAAGACUGGGAUAACUUCGGGAAACCGUAGCUAAUACCGGAUAAUAUUUUGAACCGCAUGGUUCAAAAGUGAAAGACGGUCUUGCUGUCACUUAUAGAUGGAUCCGCGCUGCAUUAGCUAGUUGGUAAGGUAACGGCUUACCAAGGCAACGAUGCAUAGCCGACCUGAGAGGGUGGUCGGCCACACUGGAACUGAGACACGGUCCAGACUCCUACGGGAGGCAGCAGUAGGGAAUCUUCCGCAAUGGGCGAAAGCCUGACGGAGCAACGCCGCGUGAGUGAUGAAGGUCUUCGGAUCGUAAAACUCUGUUAUUAGGGAAGAACAUAUGUGUAAGUAACUGUGCACAUCUUGACGGUACCUAAUCAGAAAGCCACGGCUAACUACGUGCCAGCAGCCGCGGUAAUACGUAGGUGGCAAGCGUUAUCCGGAAUUAUUGGGCGUAAAGCGCGCGUAGGCGGUUUUUUAAGUCUGAUGUGAAAGCCCACGGCUCAACCGUGGAGGGUCAUUGGAAGCUGGAAAACUUGAGUGCAGAAGAGGAAAGUGGAAUUCCAUGUGUAGCGGUGAAAUGCGCAGAGAUAUGGAGGAACACCAGUGGCGAAGGCGACUUUCUGGUCUGUAACUGACGCUGAUGUGCGAAAGCGUGGGGAUCAAACAGGAUCAGAUACCCUGGUAGUCCACGCCGUAAACGAUGAGUGCUAAGUGUUAGGGGGUUUCCGCCCCUUAGUGCUGCAGCUAACGCAUUAAGCACUCCGCCUGGGGAGUACGUCCGCAAGGUUGAAACUCAAAGGAAUUGACGGGGACCCGCACAAGCGGUGGAGCAUGUGGUUUAAUUCGAAGCAACGCGAAGAACCUUACCAAAUCUUGACAUCCUUUGACAACUCUAGAGAUAGAGCCUUCCCCUUCGGGGGACAAAGUGACAGGUGGUGCAUGGUUGUCGUCAGCUCGUGUCGUGAGAUGUUGGGUUAAGUCCCGCAACGAGCGCAACCCUUAAGCUUAGUUGCCAUCAUUAAGUUGGGCACUCUAAGUUGACUGCCGGUGACAAACCGGAGGAAGGUGGGGAUGACGUCAAAUCAUCAUGCCCCUUAUGAUUUGGGCUACACACGUGCUACAAUGGACAAUACAAAGGGCAGCGAAACCGCGAGGUCAAGCAAAUCCCAUAAAGUUGUUCUCAGUUCGGAUUGUAGUCUGCAACUCGACUACAUGAAGCUGGAAUCGCUAGUAAUCGUAGAUCAGCAUGCUACGGUGAAUACGUUCCCGGGUCU